RNAcentral lists this ribosomal RNA (490 nucleotides) under uncultured bacterium. RNAcentral describes it as "partial 16S ribosomal RNA". It matches the Rfam family "Bacterial small subunit ribosomal RNA", at positions 30 to 507 of the family's 1533-position model. The record is from RNAcentral.
AUUGAACGCUGGCGGCAGGCUUAACACAUGCAAGUCGAGCGGUAGCACAAGAGAGCUUGCUCUCUGGGUGACGAGCGGCGGACGGGUGAGUAAUGUCUGGGAAACUGCCUGAUGGAGGGGGAUAACUACUGGAAACGGUAGCUAAUACCGCAUAACGUCGCAAGACCAAAGAGGGGGACCUUCGGGCCUCUUGCCAUCAGAUGUGCCCAGAUGGGAUUAGCUAGUAGGUGGGGUAAUGGCUCACCUAGGCGACGAUCCCUAGCUGGUCUGAGAGGAUGACCAGCCACACUGGAACUGGGACACGGUCCAGACUCCUACGGGAGGCAGCAGUGGGGAAUAUUGCACAAUGGGCGCAAGCCUGAGGCAGCCAUGCCGCGUGUGUGAAGAAGGCCUUCGGGUUGUAAAGCACUUUCAGCGAGGAGGAAGGUGGUGAACUUAAUACGUUCAUCAAUUGACGUUACUCGCAGAAGAAGCACCGGCUAACUCCGUG